This 428-nucleotide ribosomal RNA is filed under the name uncultured bacterium. Its description in RNAcentral is "bacterial SSU rRNA". It matches the Rfam family "Bacterial small subunit ribosomal RNA", at positions 355 to 776 of the family's 1533-position model. The record is from RNAcentral.
UGGGGAAUAUUGGACAAUGGGCGAAAGCCUGAUCCAGCCAUGCCGCGUGAGUGAUGAAGGUCUUCGGAUCGUAAAGCUCUGUGGGAAGGGACGAAAAAUGCCGACCUAAUACGUCGGAACUUGACGGUACCUUCUUAGCAAGCACCGGCUAACUCCGUGCCAGCAGCCGCGGUAAUACGGAGGGUGCAAACGUUGCUCGGAAUCAUUGGGCGUAAAGCGCACGUAGGCGGUCCGAUAAGUCGGAUGUGAAAUCCCUCGGCUCAACCGAGGAAGUGCAUCCGAAACUGCCGGGCUUGAGUACGGAAGAGGGUCUCGGAAUUCCCGGUGUAGAGGUGAAAUUCGUAGAUAUCGGGAGGAACACCAGUGGCGAAGGCGGAGACCUGGGCCGAUACUGACGCUGAGGUGCGAAAGCGUGGGGAGCAAACAGG